RNAcentral lists this ribosomal RNA (641 nucleotides) under uncultured bacterium. RNAcentral's name for it is "bacterial SSU rRNA". It matches the Rfam family "Bacterial small subunit ribosomal RNA", at positions 335 to 990 of the family's 1533-position model. The record is from RNAcentral.
ACUCCUACGGGAGGCAGCAGUGGGGAAUCUUGCGCAAUGGGCGAAAGCCUGACGCAGCAACGCCGCGUGGGGGAUGAAGGCUCUCGGGUCGUAAACCCCUUUCAGCAGGGACGAAUCUGACGGUACCUGCAGAAGAAGCUCCGGCCAACUACGUGCCAGCAGCCGCGGUAACACGUAGGGAGCAAGCGUUGUCCGGAUUUAUUGGGCGUAAAGAGCUCGUAGGCGGCUCAGCAAGUCGGGUGUGAAAACUCCGGGCUCAACCCGGAGACGCCACCUGAUACUGCUGUGGCUAGAGUCUGGUAGGGGAGUGUGGAAUUCCCGGUGUAGCGGUGAAAUGCGCAGAUAUCGGGAGGAACACCAGUGGCGAAGGCGGCACUCUGGGCCAGUACUGACGCUGAGGAGCGAAAGCGUGGGUAGCAAACAGGAUUAGAUACCCUGGUAGUCCACGCCGUAAACGUUGGGCACUAGGUGUGGGGGCGUACCAAACGCUUCUGUGCCGUAGCUAACGCAUUAAGUGCCCCGCCUGGGGAGUACGGCCGCAAGGCUAAAACUCAAAGGAAUUGACGGGGGCCCGCACAAGCGGCGGAGCAUGUUGCUUAAUUCGAGGCAACGCGAAGAACCUUACCUGGGUUGAACUACGC